UGGUCCCGCCCCACAUCUGGCAGUGGCUGCACAUCUGGGACAGAGCAACACUCCCCCCCCAACCUUCGCCAGCUGCUAAUUUUAAACACGGGACCCCCCCCCCUCGGCCUCCCGCGGGCCCCCGGCCCCGCGCAGGGCCGGGCACGGAACGGGGACCGGGGAACGUGGCACAAGGAACACGGGACACGGGAACACGGGACACGGGAACACGGAAUGCCGAGCACAGCACAUGGCACUGCCAUGACCACGCGUGUGCCCGCACGUGCCCUUGCACACCUGGGCGCGCACACGCGGCCGUGCACACCUGCGCACGCUCGCACACGCGUGUUCACACCCACGCGGGACCGCGACAGGGCCGCGGUGGCCGUGCCAGGCUCCUGUCGGCCCCACGGUGGCCACACUGGCCGUGCCGAGGCUCUGCUGGGAGCGCGGUGGCCGUGCCAGCUCCCGUUUGUCACGAGCAGCCGCGGUAGCCGUGCUGGCUCCCCCGUGAGUCCCGCGGUGGCCCCGCUGGCCCCGCUGGGUGCCUGCGAGGCCGCGGUGGCCGUGUGGGAGCCCUGUGGGCUCGCUGUGGCCCAGGGCUCGGCGAUGCCCUUUCUAGGCAAUGGCAGCAGCCGGGCCAUCGCCCACGCGCCGCCGGCACAUUCCUCCCGCCUGAGUCAGCCCGGCCGGGAGCAGCGGGAGCGGCAGCGGGGCCGAGCGGCCUGGGCACAGCACGGCGGGGCACGGAAUGGCACCGGCGGGGCACGGCAUGGCACUGUCACUGCACGGAAUGGCACCGGCGGGGCACGGAAUGGCACUGUCACUGCACGGAAUGGCACUUACACAACACAGCACGGUGGGGCACGGAAUGGCACUGUCACAGCACGGCAUGGCACUGUCACAGCAUGGCAUGGCACUGACACUGCACGGCAUGGCACUGACACAGCACGGCGGGGCACGGAAUGGCACUGUCACUGCACGGCAUGGCACUGUCACAGCACGGAAUGGCACUGACACAGCACGGCGGGGCACGGAAUGGCACCGGCGGGGCACGGAAUGGCACUGUCACAGCACGGAAUGGCACUGUCACUACAUGGCAUGGCACUGUCACAGCACGGAAUGGCACUGUCACUNNNNNNNNNNNNNNNNNNNNNNNNNNNNNNNNN
Molecule: long non-coding RNA, 1148 nt
Filed under: Parus major (Great Tit)
Lineage: Eukaryota; Metazoa; Chordata; Aves; Passeriformes; Paridae
Description: lncRNA (ENSPMJG00000002666.1)
Source: RNAcentral